CAAUGGUAGAAAAUAAAGUGAUCACUUUUAUACAUGAACGUUCUAUUGUAGAACUCAAGUUAUAUACAAUUGAUUGCUAAACAAACAAAAUUUGCAAGACUUAUAGUAACUGCUGUGUUCUGAGAGAAAAAUAUGAGUUUUAGUUUUGUGAAAUACAAGAGUCAUGUUGAAGAUGGAGACACUGUCAUUUUAUACAUGGUAUCACUUUAAUUUAUACCAAUUUAAUAUUUGUUAAUAAUUUACAUGGGUGGGUUGACUACAAAAUUUUUGUAGUUCGCUAUAACUACAGCUACUUCAAAAAUAUGUAGUCAGCUACAACUACUGCUACUUUUGAACAAAGGUAGUUCGCUACUGACUACAGCUACUGCUUAAAAAAUGUAGCGAACUAUUUCACUAUUUCGCUACACUAUAUUUUUUUAGUUUUACUAUAUUUGGAGCAUCUACUAACUCAGGCUGUAAUGCAAUCUAUAACAAAUCGACUUACGAGUAGCAACAGUAAACACAAAGCAACAUUUUUGUAAGCACUACAGUGUUCAGGAGUGCAAAUUGAGUAUUGAUUUUAAACAAAUCGUGUCUCAAUAUCAUAUGCUAUUCUGUCAAGUUACUAACAAUUUUAAAAAGUAGCGAAUAGCGAUUCGCUGUUUGAAAAGUAGUCAACUACUUGGCUACAACCCACCCUUGAUAAUUUAGCUAGUACAUAGGAUAACAGUGGUGGACAGACACACCAGUAAAGGAUUGUAUUAAUACAAUCUGUGGAUAUAUGCAUUUUUUGCAAUUCAUUACGACAAAGGCCAGGCUGCCCGGCCACAAUACACCCUUGUGCGGAACAUACUCAGUCUUGGUUAUAGUUUCUGAGUCAAAAUACCUGUGGGAAGGGCAGGAGUUGUUAACAAUUUCAGGAUAUUUAUGUGGUCCGGCCAUAUAAUUCGGAACACUUAGUCAUACAUGAUAAAAAAAUAUUGUGUCACACUGUACGUCACAAUUAAGGGAAGAAAAAACUAACUUUUGAAUAUCCAGCUAAUGCCUCAUCUGAAAGUUUUGUUUCUUUAAAAAUGUCUCUAUUUCAGUGCUUGAACUGUUAUCCAUAUUGAAAACAACUUAUUUUGAAAAACAUCCAGCAUGCAUAUGAGGUUGGAAAACGUCGAGAUAAUGUUGCUCGAUCGUCCCAAGUUUCCUGCAGCGCGAACCACACUGCAAGCCGAGAUGCCCGUCUCUCAGGCAGCAAUUUGUUGUCAAAUUCCCAUCUCCAAAUUGAAUCGUCAUUGAAUAUUCAGUAAAGCAUUGAUUGAGCAAUCGUGGAACAAGCCUGAGACAAAUUUGUUGAAGAUCCCUAACACGGAAGUGGAGUGUUUGUUCGUUCAUGAAAUGUUAAAAUAGAUCAAUGAUACUGUAUCUAACAGUAUGUCAUAAUAGUUAUUUAAUAAUAUUUAUAUUAAUUUUAUAUUAUACAUUUUAGGGCCGAACAAAACAGGAUGCCGUACAAAUCAAGAAGGGUUCUGUUUUGGACACUAAAUUUGGACAAUUUCCUCAUAGCUAUUUGAUUGGGCAGGAAUACGGCACAAAGGU
RNAcentral lists this long non-coding RNA (1566 nucleotides) under Paramuricea clavata. Lineage: Eukaryota; Metazoa; Cnidaria; Anthozoa; Malacalcyonacea; Plexauridae. The record is from RNAcentral.